GAUGAACGCUGGCGGCAUGCCUAACACAUGCAAGUCGAUCGGUAAGGCUCUUCGGAGUACACGAGAGGCGGACGGCUGAGUAACGCGUAGGAACACACCCUGCAGUGAGGGAUAAGACACCGAAAGGUGUUCUAAUACCGCAUACGGUCUUCGGAUUAAAGCAUUUAUGCGCUGAAGGAGUGGCCUGCGUCAUAUUAGAUAGUUGGUGAGGUAAUGGCUCACCAAGUCGAUGAUGUGUAGCUGGUCUGAGAGGAUGAUCAGCCAGACUGGAACUGAGACACGGUCCAGACUCCUACGGGAGGCAGCAGUGAGGAAUAUUUCACAAUGAGCGAAAGCUUGAUGGAGCAAUGCCGAGUGAAGGAUGAAGGCCCUCGGGUUGUAAACUGCUUUUAUAAGAGAAGAUUAUGACGGUAACUUAUGAAGAAGGGACGGAUAACUACGU
RNAcentral lists this ribosomal RNA (442 nucleotides) under uncultured bacterium. Its description in RNAcentral is "partial 16S ribosomal RNA". It matches the Rfam family "Bacterial small subunit ribosomal RNA", at positions 28 to 506 of the family's 1533-position model. The record is from RNAcentral.